This 486-nucleotide ribosomal RNA is filed under the name uncultured Desulfobulbus sp. RNAcentral describes it as "bacterial SSU rRNA". It matches the Rfam family "Bacterial small subunit ribosomal RNA", at positions 901 to 1382 of the family's 1533-position model. Lineage: Bacteria; Pseudomonadati; Thermodesulfobacteriota; Desulfobulbia; Desulfobulbales; Desulfobulbaceae. The record is from RNAcentral.
UUAAAGGAAUUGACGGGGCCCGCACAAGCGGUGGAGUAUGUGGUUUAAUUCGAUGCAACGCGAAGAACCUUACCUGGUCUUGACAUCCCGGAGACCCUUAGGAAACUAGGGGGUGCUUCCAUCUGGAAGAAUCUGGAGACAGGUGCUGCAUGGCUGUCGUCAGCUCGUGUCGUGAGAUGUUGGGUUAAGUCCCGCAACGAGCGCAACCCUUGCCUUUAGUUGCCAGCAGUUCGGCUGGGCACUCUAAAGGGACUGCCGGUGUUAAACCGGAGGAAGGUGGGGAUGACGUCAAGUCCUCAUGGCCUUUAUGACCAGGGCUACACACGUACUACAAUGGCCGAUACAAAGGGCGGCGACACUGCGAGGUGAAGCCAAUCCCGUAAAAUCGGUCUCAGUCCGGAUUGGAGUCUGCAACUCGACUCCAUGAAGUUGGAAUCGCUAGUAAUCGUGGAUCAGCAUGCCACGGUGAAUACGUUCCCGGGCCUU